UUUUAUCAUGGCUCAGGACGAACGCUGGCGGCGUGCCUAAUACAUGCAAGUCGAGCGAGCGGAACUAACAGAUUUACUUCGGUAAUGACGUUAGGAAAGCGAGCGGCGGAUGGGUGAGUAACACGUGGGGAACCUGCCCCAUAGUCUGGGAUACCACUUGGAAACAGGUGCUAAUACCGGAUAAGAAAGCAGAUCGCAUGAUCAGCUUUUAAAAGGCGGCGUAAGCUGUCGCUAUGGGAUGGCCCCGCGGUGCAUUAGCUAGUUGGUAAGGUAAAGGCUUACCAAGGCGAUGAUGCAUAGCCGAGUUGAGAGACUGAUCGGCCACAUUGGGACUGAGACACGGCCCAAACUCCUACGGGAGGCAGCAGUAGGGAAUCUUCCACAAUGGACGCAAGUCUGAUGGAGCAACGCCGCGUGAGUGAAGAAGGUUUUCGGAUCGUAAAGCUCUGUUGUUGGUGAAGAAGGAUAGAGGUAGUAACUGGCCUUUAUUUGACGGUAAUCAACCAGAAAGUCACGGCUAACUACGUGCCAGCAGCCGCGGUAAUACGUAGGUGGCAAGCGUUGUCCGGAUUUAUUGGGCGUAAAGCGAGCGCAGGCGGAAGAAUAAGUCUGAUGUGAAAGCCCUCGGCUUAACCGAGGAACUGCAUCGGAAACUGUUUUUCUUGAGUGCAGA
Molecule: ribosomal RNA, 673 nt
Filed under: Lactobacillus crispatus
Lineage: Bacteria; Bacillati; Bacillota; Bacilli; Lactobacillales; Lactobacillaceae
Description: bacterial SSU rRNA
Rfam family: Bacterial small subunit ribosomal RNA
Source: RNAcentral